RNAcentral lists this long non-coding RNA (913 nucleotides) under Brassica napus (rape). RNAcentral describes it as "long non-coding RNA (BNAP_LNC016298)". The record is from RNAcentral. Lineage: Eukaryota; Viridiplantae; Streptophyta; Magnoliopsida; Brassicales; Brassicaceae.
UUCCUGUUUGGGAAUAUGAUAACUUCUUCGUCAUUCUAAUCAAACCAGGAAGAAUCUCGAUGUGAGAAGAUGUAUUUGGAUGCAUAAAGUAGUGGAGAAUCACCAGGAAGUUGAACAAAUCUUAUAGGAGUUAGGAUGAAGAAGUUAUCCCACUUUCAAAUCAGGAGAUCCCAGUUGUCCUGUUUGGGAAUAUGACAACUUCUUCGUCAUUCUAAUCAAACAAGGAUGAAUAGCGAUGUGAGAAGCUGUUAUUGGAUACAUAAAGUAGUGGAGAAUCACCAGGAAGUUGAAUAAAUCUCAUAGGAGUUAGAAUGAGGAAGUUAUCCCACUUUCAAAUCAGGAGAUCCCAGUUUUGAUAUUUGGUAAUAUGACAACUUCUUCGUCAUUCUAAUCAAACAAGAAUGAAUCGCGAUGUGAGAAGCUGUAUUUGGAUACAUAAAGUAGUGGAGAAUCACCAAGAAGUUGAAGAAGUUAUCCCACUUUCAAAUUAGGAGAUCCCAGUUUUCAUAUUUGGGAAAAGAAGUUAUCCCACUUUCAAAUCAGGUGAUCCUUGUUUUCACGUUUGGGAAUACGACAACUCCUUCAUCAUUCUAAUCAAACCAGGAUGAAUCUUGAUGCGAAAAGCUGUAUUUGGAUGCAUAAAGUAGUGGAGAAUCACCAGCCAGUUGAAUAAAUCUCAUAGGAGUUAGGAUGAAGAAGUUAUCCUACUUUCAAAUCAGGAGAUCCCAGUUUUCCUGUUUGGGAAUAUGACAACUUCUUCGUCAUUCUAAUCAAGCCAGGAUGAAUCACGAUGUGAGAAGCUGUAUUUGGAUAUAUAAAGUAGUGGAGAAUCACCAGGCAGUUGAAUAAAUCUCAUAGGAGUUAGGAUGAAGAAGUUAUCCUACUUUCAAAUCAGGUGAUCCCAGUUUUCCUG